RNAcentral lists this ribosomal RNA (731 nucleotides) under uncultured bacterium. RNAcentral describes it as "bacterial SSU rRNA". It matches the Rfam family "Bacterial small subunit ribosomal RNA", at positions 65 to 787 of the family's 1533-position model. The record is from RNAcentral.
GACGGCAGCACGGGAGCUUGCUCCUGGUGGCGAGUGGCGAACGGGUGAGUAAUACCUAGGAACAUGUCCAGUAAUGGGGGAUAACGCAGCGAAAGCUGUGCUAAUACCGCAUACGCCCUACGGGGGAAAGCGGGGGAUUCGCAAGAACCUCGCGUUAUUGGAGUGGCCUAGGCCUGAUUAGCUAGUUGGUGAGGUAAAGGCUCACCAAGGCGACGAUCAGUAGCUGGUCUGAGAGGAUGAUCAGCCACACUGGAACUGAGACACGGUCCAGACUCCUACGGGAGGCAGCAGUGGGGAAUUUUGGACAAUGGGGGAAACCCUGAUCCAGCCAUUCCGCGUGAGUGAAGAAGGCCUUCGGGUUGUAAAGCUCUUUCCGGAGGGAAGAAACGGUUACGGAUAAUACCUGUGACUAAUGACGGUACCUUCAGAAGAAGCACCGGCUAACUACGUGCCAGCAGCCGUGGUAAUACGUAGGGUGCGAGCGUUAAUCGGAAUUACUGGGCGUAAAGCGUGCGCAGGCGGUUUUGUAAGUCAGAUGUGAAAGCCCCGGGCUCAACCUGGGAACUGCGUUUGAAACUACAAGGCUAGAGUGUAGCAGAGGAGGGUAGAAUUCCACGUGUAGCAGUGAAAUGCGUAGAGAUGUGGAGGAAUACCGAUGGCGAAAGCAGCCCCCUGGGUUAACACUGACGCUCAUGUACGAAAGCGUGGGGAGCAAACAGGAUUAGAUACCC